Molecule: long non-coding RNA, 289 nt
Filed under: Brassica napus (rape)
Lineage: Eukaryota; Viridiplantae; Streptophyta; Magnoliopsida; Brassicales; Brassicaceae
Description: long non-coding RNA (BNAP_LNC002795)
Source: RNAcentral
UCUAAUGGGAUAAAGUUAUCAUUUUUUGGCCUAAAAAACAAUUUUCCCUUGAUUAUUUUAUCAUGUUUGCAAUGUGUUUGUCUAUAUAUUGCGUAUAUAUCUUUUAUUUUUAUCUAAUAUUUUCCUGUUAUUUAUAAAAAAGAAAAGUUACAAUAAUCAUAAUCUCUAGAAAAUGUUUUUUUACAUCACUUGGGCCAUGUAAUGCUUAUUUUUAGGGGCUUUAUGCUAUAAUUUUCAGUUUAAAAGGUAAGAGCAAUUUUAUUGGUAAGGUUUUCAAAUGGAAAAAUUU